Molecule: ribosomal RNA, 253 nt
Filed under: uncultured bacterium
Lineage: Bacteria
Description: partial 16S ribosomal RNA
Rfam family: Bacterial small subunit ribosomal RNA
Source: RNAcentral
UACAGAGGUCCCAAGCGUUGUUCGGAUUCACUGGGCGUAAAGGGUGCGUAGGUGGUGAGGUAAGUCGGAUGUGAAAUCUCGGAGCUCAACUCCGAAAUGGCAUUGGAAACUACCUUGCUCGAGGGAUGGAGGGGGGACUGGAAUUCUCGGUGUAGCAGUGAAAUGCGUAGAUAUCGAGAGGAACACCAGUGGCGAAGGCGGCUCACUGGAUCGGUACUGACGCUGAGGUGCGAAAGCGUGGGGAGCAAACAGG